RNAcentral lists this long non-coding RNA (471 nucleotides) under Zonotrichia albicollis (white-throated sparrow). Its description in RNAcentral is "lncRNA (ENSZALG00000016822.1)". Lineage: Eukaryota; Metazoa; Chordata; Aves; Passeriformes; Passerellidae. The record is from RNAcentral.
CUAGAGAGGAGGCUUUUUGCAUCUCGCUGCGGAGCCGCGCUCGCAGCCCGGCAGCCCCGCGGGUCCCUCCCGGCGCUGCGGGCGCGGGGCUCGCCCCGGCUCCUCUCCCGGCUCGCUCGCUCUCGGAGGAAAGUCGCUUGGCCAAAAAAGAAGCUUGGUGUCAGGCAAACCAGACUAAGAAAAUACUAGAGGAAAAUAUUGUAUUGAUCAGUUUAAUCUUAACAAUGCCAGGAGGAAUUAUAAGUAGCUCAAGAUUGUUCGGCAAAAUUCUACAGCCUCAUGGGCCACCUCACAAAUUGGUGUGACAGGAGAAAGGCUGAAGGGUACAUUACUGAACCUUCUCUGGAGCUACAGUAAGUUUUUAAAUGGAAAUUGAGGUUUGGAGAUGCUGCACUUUCAGACACAAGAGGAGGGUGAGCUCCUGGAUGGAGAUACCUACAUGAAGCUUCAUCAGUGCUAGUCCUUGGGAGG